UAAGGUCCCGAGCGCCGUGUCCAGCAUCCUCUCCUCUCCCUUUCCCCUUGCUCGCUUCCUCCUCCCGAGCCCAUCCCUAGCCGCCUUCUCCCGCAGCACCUCAGCCGCCUCCUCUCGCUUUCCACCCAGCCGCUUACUCCCUCUCGCCCAGCGCGGACGGCCUCCUAGCCGCCGCAGCCGCCGCCUCCUUCUCCCCCUCUUCCUCUCCCUCAGCGUAGCCCCUCCACCUCCCUCCACCUCCCUCCUUUGUCUGACGACGCCUGGUCCAUCUCCUUCUCUCCCUUCCAUCGCCGCUCGUCGCUGCUCCGCCUCCCCGCCUGGCAGCGGCCAGAGAAGGGCUACUCCGCCUCCCCGCCUCACCUCCUCUUCCUCUUUUUCUAGAGCAUGGCCUCGAUCUGGAGCACGAGAGGCCAGGAGAGUGCAUCCUUGAUCUGGAGAAGGGGAGCAGCCGCCGGCCGAUUCUGGCACGCUCCAGCGACCCCGGUGGCCAUCCAGCACCUUCCCGUGCUCUCUUAUCGUCUUGGCCUCCCCCGGAUCCUGGUUCUGCGCCUCCACUGGCUCACCGUCCACCUUCUCCUCCACCUCCCCUAGCUGAUCUGCUCGACCUCAUCGUCGGUGCUCAACAGGGGAAGCACGAGCAGCAGAUGCAGUUGAGCAUCCGCCCGGUCGCAGCUCGGCUUCAGUUAAGUCGCCGCCGCCUCCGGGACCGACAUAGCAGAGGAGCCAUGGAGGGCGUUGGCGGCGCUUGAUUCGAUGUAGCGCCAUGGAUCAGUCCCUGCUGCAGGAGAGAGAGAGAGAGAGAGAGAGAGAGAGAGAGAGGGAGAGGGAGAGGGAGAGGGAGAAGGAAGGAGAGGAGGGAGAAAGAGAAAGGAUAGAGGAGAUGGAGGUGCGUCGUCCGGCAUCGGCCUGCACUGAUACGAGGAUGAAGAUUGAGAUUGUGUAUUUUGGAUGCAAUAUCCCACGGAUAUGGGUUACCUUCCAGAGUGAUAGAGUUGGUCACAAUAAAAUAUGAACCAUGUCAAAGGAUGAGGCUUGUUUAUAUUAAAUCACAAGAACUCCAUGAGCUUGCUUGGUUACUCUGGAGAAGGGCAUUCUUUCAAGGAGCUGUAAAUUUUUUGUAUAUGCUCUCUGUUGGGCACUUUUUUCAGUAUGUACGAGAUUUGUUGAGAAUGAGUGAAAAAAUCGACCAUUUGGUGGAUUUGUUCGGUACUCAGACAGAGUGAAAGCAGAGACCGAAAGUUUACGAUUUAGAUGAUUUGGAGGUGCCAUGUCAAUCUUCUUACCUCCAUAUCAAAACGGAUCAGAUGAUUUAUUGCUUAAGGGCAUGCUCUUAUUCUCUGAGAUGGAUGAUGAUGAGCGAUUGAGCGGUGCAACUAAAAAUUCAGAGCUGGGCUUUACACACUUCAGUGGGAGUAGCAUGGCAACACCAAGGUAGAGACCUGAAGACAAGCAAAGGGGCGGACCAAGGAAACUAGAGCCGCGUUGUCGUGAUGUGAGUCGUGUCGUCUUCGUCCAUCUCCAUGGAGGACCUGCUCGACCAAACUGAACAUUCAGUCAUUGUUUUCACCUGGGAUACACCAUCAGUAUCAACACUGGUAAAAAGAAUCCAAUCAAAACAUGAUGUUUUUCCCUUGGCUACAUGUUUAUUUGAAGGAAACCAUUCAAUUCUCAGUGAUCUUUCUUUAUGCUCCUUAUUGCCAUUUUCCUAAUGCGCCUAUAGAAGUGAUUUAUCAGGUCUUUUGGUAUAUUAUCUUUAAGGGAAUGCCAAAGUUUGUUGGAUUGUGAAUUCUCUGGUCAGAAUCGGUUGUUUUUUUCCCUUGUGUUCAUUUAUUUCUCAGAUUGCAGAACAGAUGAGUGUAGACUAAGUUGAUGAUCUACAGGUGUUGCUCCUCUCCCCUGACCACAUCACCAGCGCCCCUGCCAUCCUCCAAGCCCAUGGCCAGUGGCUCCCCAAGGCCAAGCUAUGUCAGGCUGUAGCAACAAGGUGUUGCUCCUCUCCCCUGAUGUGUAGUGCAACUAUAAAUAGGGAGGGAAUUGCUUGAGGAGAGCUCUCUUGCUACUGUUCUGAGCUCACUCUUUGACUAAUCUAAAUGCUAUCUCUGCUCACCGAUCAAUCAAGGAAAGCACUGAAAUAUCAGCAAGGACCAGCACAAAAAGAAGGGAGAAUAAAUGGGACCAAUUAAGUUACUUGUGUUUAAGAGUACACUACUUUUGACUUUGGAGUCACACUGGUGAAUGGGGCGUCGCAUGAUCUAUGCUGGAGGUGUUCACAUAUAACAAGCUCACUAUUUGUUCCAUUGGUCAGUUGUAUAAUCUGUGGGCGUAUUUAAGUUGAACUAUGCUCCUUUCUUGGUAUUUGGAGACAAGAUAUUGGCAGUUUUUACGUUACCAGACUGUUUAUUAGUUAUCUGUAGUUUUGUAACGCUCUCCAUUGUCAAUGGAAGUUUAGAUUCUUCAGGAAGAAUGGGUCUUGUAUUUAUAUUAUUCAAUUGUGCAAUAAUCGAUAGAUAACAGAAGAUAGAUACUUAAGAAGUUUACAGAUUUGAGUAUGAAAGUUUCACCCCGGUGAGUGUGGUAUUGAAUCAUAACUCUAAUUGUGGUUUAGUUUAUUCUA
Long non-coding RNA from Triticum aestivum (bread wheat), 2614 nucleotides. RefSeq lists it as uncharacterized. The record is from RefSeq and is a predicted model, not a curated record. The transcript has 7 exons. Lineage: Eukaryota; Viridiplantae; Streptophyta; Magnoliopsida; Poales; Poaceae.